This 482-nucleotide ribosomal RNA is filed under the name uncultured bacterium. Its description in RNAcentral is "bacterial SSU rRNA". It matches the Rfam family "Bacterial small subunit ribosomal RNA", at positions 30 to 502 of the family's 1533-position model. The record is from RNAcentral.
AUUGAACGCUGGCGGCAUGCCUAACACAUGCAAGUCGAACGGCAGCACGGGAGCUUGCUCCUGGUGGCGAGUGGCGGACGGGUGAGUAAUGCAUAGGAAUCUGCCCAGUAGCGGGGGACAACUUGGGGAAACUCAAGCUAAUACCGCAUACGCCCUACGGGGGAAAGCGGGGGACCUUCGGGCCUCGCACUAUUGGAUGAGCCUAUGUCAGAUUAGCUUGUUGGUGGGGUAAAGGGCCUACCAAGGCGACGAUCUGUAGCUGGUCUGAGAGGACGAUCAGCCACACUGGGACUGAGACACGGCCCAGACUCCUACGGGAGGCAGCAGUGGGGAAUAUUGCACAAUGGGCGAAAGCCUGAUGCAGCAAUGCCGCGUGUGUGAAGAAGGCCUGCGGGUUGUAAAGCACUUUCAGUAGGGAGGAAACAGUAGCCGGUUAAUAUCCGGUUGCCUUGACGUUACCUACAGAAGAAGCACGGCUAACU